AGUGAACGCUGGCGGUAGGCCUAACACAUGCAAGUCGAACGGCAGCACAGUAAGAGCUUGCUCUUACGGGUGGCGAGUGGCGGACGGGUGAGGAAUACAUCGGAAUCUACUUUUUCGUGGGGGAUAACGUAGGGAAACUUACGCUAAUACCGCAUACGACCUACGGGUGAAAGCAGGGGAUCUUCGGACCUUGCGCGAUUGAAUGAGCCGAUGUCGGAGUAGCUAGUUGGCGGGGUAAAGGCCCACCAAGGCGACGAUCCGUAGCUGGUCUGAGAGGAUGAUCAGCCACACUGGAACUGAGACACGGUCCAGACUCCUACGGGAGGCAGCAGUGGGGAAUAUUGGAAAAUGGGCGCAAGCCUGAUCCAGCCAUACCGCGUGGGUGAAGAAGGCCUUCGGGUUGUAAAGCCCUUUUGUUGGGAAAGAAAAGCAGCAGGUUAAUACCCCGCUGUUCUGACGGUACCCAAAGAAUAAGCACCGGCUAACUUCGU
This 491-nucleotide ribosomal RNA is filed under the name uncultured bacterium. Its description in RNAcentral is "partial 16S ribosomal RNA". It matches the Rfam family "Bacterial small subunit ribosomal RNA", at positions 29 to 506 of the family's 1533-position model. The record is from RNAcentral.